RNAcentral lists this ribosomal RNA (460 nucleotides) under uncultured bacterium. Its description in RNAcentral is "partial 16S ribosomal RNA". It matches the Rfam family "Bacterial small subunit ribosomal RNA", at positions 338 to 795 of the family's 1533-position model. The record is from RNAcentral.
CCUACGGGAGGCUGCAGUGAGGAAUAUUGGUCAAUGGGCGGAAGCCUGAACCAGCCAAGUCGCGUGAGGGAAUAAGGCCCUACGGGUCGUAAACCUCUUUUGCCGGGGAGCAAGGGCCGGGACGCGUCCCGGCCCGGAGAGUACCCGGAGAAAAAGCAUCGGCUAACUCCGUGCCAGCAGCCGCGGUAAUACGGAGGAUGCGAGCGUUAUCCGGAUUUAUUGGGUUUAAAGGGUGCGUAGGCGGGCUUUUAAGCCAGCGGGAAAAAUUCGGGGCUCAACCCCGUCCGGCCGUUGAAACUGGGGGCCUUGAGUGGGCGAGAAGAAGGCGGAAUGCGUGGUGUAGCGGUGAAAUGCAUAGAUAUCACGCAGAACCCCGAUUGCGAAGGCAGCCUUCCGGCGCCCUACUGACGCUGAGGCACGAAAGUGCGGGGAUCGAACAGGAUUAGAUACCCCGGUAGUC